UGCAAGUCGAACGGGCCUUUUGGCUAGUGGCGGACGGGUGAGCUAACGCGUGGGAAUCUGCCCUCAGGAGGGGGAUAACGACCGGAAACGGUCGCUAAUACCCCAUAUGCCGAGAGGUGAAAUGAAUUUCGCCUGAGGAUGAGCCCGCGUCUGAUUAGCUUGUUGGUGAGGUAAUGGCUCACCAAGGCAUCGAUCAGUAGCUGGUCUGAGAGGAUGAUCAGCCACACUGGGACUGAGACACGGCCCAGACUCCUACGGGAGGCAGCAGUGGGGAAUUUUGCGCAAUGGGGGAAACCCUGACGCAGCAACGCCGCGUGGAGGAUGAAGUCCCUUGGGACGUAAACUCCUUUCGAUCGGGACGAUAAUGACGGUACCGGAAGAAGAAGCCCCGGCUAACUUCGUGCCAGCAGCCGCGGUAAU
Molecule: ribosomal RNA, 420 nt
Filed under: uncultured bacterium
Lineage: Bacteria
Description: bacterial SSU rRNA
Rfam family: Bacterial small subunit ribosomal RNA
Source: RNAcentral